GUAAUAAAAGUUUCUCUUCUCCAAAAUCUUUCUACUCUUCUAAAAUUCCCUUAGCCUAAAAGUCUCCCUCCAAAUAUUAAUAGCAAUCCUCUUCCAACAAAUAAGUCAUAGAACCUGGUCAUGAUUUUCUUUUGAGGCGAUGAUGACGCAACAGGGCGAAAUAACAAAAGUUGGAGGAACAAAUACUACUAAUCAUUUACUAUAAAUUGGUAUACAACAAAAAUGCCCAUGGAAAUGUAAAUACCAAUCAUGGAAAAUUGAGGAAAAAUAGUUGAAAAAAGAGUGGGAAUUAUGAGGCAAUGCAUGUGAUUAAUAGCAGGUCUCCUAAGUUGGAAACAAAGUAUAGAGAGAAAGGUAACACACCACGUGAGAGGUUAGUUGCGAGCAUCAGAAGUAUUUUUGGCAGUGAGGUUGGCGACGUUGCCAUUUCUGCUCUCACAUAUAUAACUAGCCAUCCACUGAUUCUUUCUCUGCCUUUGCCAUGCCUUUGCCAUCCCUACAGCCUGUACCUUUGCUUGUUUUCUGCCAUCCACCCCCAGCCCUGUCUCCUCUCUGGCUAUUUAUAUAAUUUAAUACAUAUUUCCAUUUUAUACGUCAUAUACUAAUACCUGACAUAGCUGUGUAUAUUUCUUGAGUUUAUGUUUUAUAUACGUAAAUAAAUUCUUACUCUAUCAAAUCAUCUUAAAAAAUAAUAGUCUAUUAUGUGAUCAAGGGUGAAUGCACGUUUUCGUCGGAAAAUUAAUGUUACUAAACUUAUGUAUUAAUACUAUGCAGGAACGAAUAAAUAGAAGGAAAAAAAAAAAAUGAUCAAAGACUGUUGCUUAACAAGCUGGUUAAGUGCUUGUUUUUGCUUCUAUUGGUAGGAGGUUUGAACCUCAGCUUGAAUAUUUUUGGCAAAUAUUUGAGAAAGUCCUCUAUUUCUAAAAAUUAUGGUUAUGUAGAAUUGAACUCUUAACCUGUUUUAGCUUACUCAACAAAACUAAUAGAUCAAGGCUAUUUAUCAUACUUAAAUGUGAUAAUUAAUAGUAGUAAUAUUUAUUUUCCUUUCUUUUAUAAAUAUCGAUACUAUUUACAAAAUAUUGUGGGUACACUAAUGAAUGUGGUAAGUAACCUUAAACAUAGGAGAUGUUACUCGAGUAGUACAUCUAGAAAUUUAUAUAAAAGGAUUUCCAAAAGAGAAAUAGAAUAUAACAAAUUAAAUUUAAUCAUGUGACCUAAAAUAACUUUUGAAUUCCUUUUACCACUAUACUAGAAUUUUUCUUCGUAUCAAAGGAAUAGAAAAGAGAAUUUAUCCUGCAUGCUACAAUAAAUUAGAAGUAAAAAUUAAUUUAACUAUCUGUGUACGUAAGUUAAAUCCAUAGUACAAUUAUAUAUGCUUAUCUAAGUUGGAUGAUAAGUGGUUACUGUCAAAAAAUU
This 1416-nucleotide long non-coding RNA is filed under the name Nicotiana benthamiana. RNAcentral's name for it is "long non-coding RNA (NBEN_LNC038348)". The record is from RNAcentral. Lineage: Eukaryota; Viridiplantae; Streptophyta; Magnoliopsida; Solanales; Solanaceae.